CCUACGGGUGGCAGCAGUGAGGAAUAUUGGUCAAUGGCCGUAAGGCUGAACCAGCCAAGUAGCGUGAGGGAAGACUGCCCUAUGGGUUGUAAACCUCUUUUAUGCGGGGAUAAAGGUGUCCACGUGUGGAUGUUUGCAGGUACCGCAUGAAUAAGGACCGGCUAAUUCCGUGCCAGCAGCCGCGGUAAUACGGAAGGUCCGGGCGUUAUCCGGAUUUAUUGGGUUUAAAGGGAGCGUAGAUGGGUUGUUAAGUCAGUUGUGAAAGUUUGCGGCUCAACCGUAAAAUUGCAAUUGAUACUGGCAGUCUUGAGUACAGUUGAGGUAGGCGGAAUUCGUGGUGUAGCGGUGAAAUGCUUAGAUAUCACGAAGAACCCCGAUUGCGAAGGCAGCCUGCCGCAGCGUUACUGACGCUGAAGCUCGAAAGCGCGGGUAUCGAACAGGAUUAGAUACCCCAGUAGUC
This 460-nucleotide ribosomal RNA is filed under the name uncultured bacterium. Its description in RNAcentral is "partial 16S ribosomal RNA". It matches the Rfam family "Bacterial small subunit ribosomal RNA", at positions 338 to 795 of the family's 1533-position model. The record is from RNAcentral.